CUGCAGUAUCCUGACUGUGCAAAGGUAGCAUAAUAAUUUGUCUUUUAAUUGGAGGAUGGAAUGAAUGACUCGACGAAAAUAUAGCUGUCUUAUUUGUAUUUAUUAAAAGUUAAUUUUUAAGUUAAAAAGCUUAGAUAAAAUUAAGGGACGAGAAGACCCUGUUAAGCUUUAAAGAUUUUAUUGAUUACAGUUUAUAUAAAAAUACGGUAUCAAUAGAAAAAUUUUAGUUGGGGCGACUUGGGAGUAAGAUAAACCUCCUU
This 260-nucleotide ribosomal RNA is filed under the name Plectostoma laidlawi. RNAcentral's name for it is "Opisthostoma laidlawi partial 16S ribosomal RNA". The record is from RNAcentral. Lineage: Eukaryota; Metazoa; Mollusca; Gastropoda; Architaenioglossa; Diplommatinidae.